UACGGGAGGCAGCAGUGGGGAAUAUUGGACAAUGGGCGCAAGCCUGAUCCAGCAAUGCCGCGUGGGUGAAGACGGCCUGCGGGUUGUAAAGCCCUUUGGGUGGGGAAGAACGGUGGUUUGCGAACAGCGGACUGCUCUGACAUUACCCACGGAACAAGCACCGGCUAACUCCGUGCCAGCAGCCGCGGUAAUACGGAGGGUGCGAGCGUUAAUCGGAAUUACUGGGCGUAAAGCGUGCGUAGGCGGAAGGGUCAGUCGGCCGUGAAAGCCCCGGGCUCAACCUGGGAACGGCGGUUGAGACGGCCCGUCUGGAGUGGGCUAGAGGAUCGUGGAAUUCCGGGUGUAGCGGUGAAAUGCGUAGAGAUCCGGAGGAACACCGAUGGCGAAGGCAGCGAUCUGGGGCCACACUGACGCUGAGGCACGAAAGCGUGGGGAGCAAACAAGAUUAGAUACCCUGGUAGUCCACGCGGUAAACGAUGAGCACUAGACGCCGGUGGGGUGACCUGUCGGUGUCGCAGCUAACGCGCUAAGUGCUCCGCCUGGGGAGUACGGCCGCAAGGUUGAAACUCAAAUGAAUUGACGG
Molecule: ribosomal RNA, 583 nt
Filed under: uncultured bacterium
Lineage: Bacteria
Description: bacterial SSU rRNA
Rfam family: Bacterial small subunit ribosomal RNA
Source: RNAcentral